UUUCAUCCACAUAGCUUGUGCAAGAAAGUUGAGAGGGUUACGGCAAAAACUGGAUGCACUUCGUGUACAAAACGGACAAUCUCUUUCAAAGUAUCAGGAUUUCAUCCGGAAACUCGUCUGUUACAAAGGGAUUUCAUUUUUUAAAACUUAUUUGAUCUCCUGACUUUUUGUGUGUUCAAAAUGCACCAUUCAAAGCCACAUCAUCAUUUUUCAAUCCUUUCUGACUUCAUUUGUUAUUUUUCAUGCAUUUACUAAUUAUUUUGCGCUAUAAGACCCUAAAAUUGAAAAGCAUUUCAAAUGAACUCUGAAAAGGUUGAAAGUUGGCAUGAUAUCAUCAUUCCAUCCACAUAGCAUGUGCAAGAAAGUUGAGAGGGUUACGGCAAAAAGUGGAGGCACUUCGUGUACAAAACGGACAAUCUCUUUCAAAGUAUCAGGAUUUCAUCCGGAAACUCGUGUGUUACAAAGGGAUUUCAUUUUUAAACCUUAUUUGAACUCCUGACUUUUUGUGUGUUCAAAAUGCACCAUUCAAAGCCACAUCAUCAUUUUUCAAUCCUUUCUGACUUCAUUUGUUAUUUUUCAUGCAUUUACUAAUUAUUUUGAGCUAUAAGAUCCUAAAAUUGAAAAGCAUUUCAAAUGAACUCUGAAAAGGUUGAAAGUUGGCAUUAUAUCAUCAUUUCAUCGACUUAGCAUGUGCAAGAAAGUUGAGAGGGUUACGGCAAAAACUGGAUGCACUUCGUGUACAAAACGGACAAUCUCUUUCAAAGUAUCAGGAUUUGAUCCGGAAACUCGUCUAUUACAAAGGGAUUUCAUUUUUUAAACCUUAUUUGAACACCUGACUUUUUGUGUGUUCAAAAUGCACCAUUCAAAGCCACAUCAUCAUUUUUCAAUCCUUUCUGACUUCAUUUGUUAUUUUUCAUGCAUUUACUAAUUAUUUUGAGCUAUAAGACCCUAAAAUUGAAAAGCAUUUCAAAUGAACUCUGAAAAGGUUGAAAGUUGGCAUGAUAUCAUCAUUUCAUCCACAUAGCAUGUGCAAGAAAGUUGAGAGGGUUACGGCAAAAAGUGGAUGCACUUCGUGUACAAAACGG
RNAcentral lists this long non-coding RNA (1085 nucleotides) under Triticum aestivum (bread wheat). RNAcentral describes it as "long non-coding RNA (TAES_LNC019555)". Lineage: Eukaryota; Viridiplantae; Streptophyta; Magnoliopsida; Poales; Poaceae. The record is from RNAcentral.